Phoenix dactylifera (date palm) is the source of this 559-nucleotide long non-coding RNA. RefSeq lists it as uncharacterized. NCBI's taxonomy places the organism in Eukaryota, Viridiplantae, Streptophyta, Magnoliopsida, Arecales, Arecaceae. The record is from RefSeq and is a predicted model, not a curated record.
UCUACACCCCAUAAAAUGGCGGCCUCACGACGGAGUAGUCGAGAGCUGCGGCGACGGCCGUUGUUUGCUCCGCCGUGCGCGGUGCCCAGUGUGGGAUCUUGAGCGCCCGAGUCUACGAGAGUUGGUGCCUCCAGCGUCUUUCUCUUCCACGACGGAUCUCGAGGCGUCUAAUCGCCCUUCCCAAGAAAUGCCCUGGCAACGGGAUUCUCUUUGUCAAGAUGUAGGUAGAGAAUGGAGUAGAAAUUCAGAGAGUGCUGCUAUUGGAUAAUUCUAGGAUUCCUGUGCGCAUACAACUGUUGCUAGUACUCUUCUGUGAUUGCUGCUUUGGAUGUCAGUUUUGCGUGUUGAACAGUUAGCUGCUCCAUCUUGCAAACAGUUUUUACUGUAGUUUUGAACAGAUGAUGUGAAGUGUUUGGAUAAUCUCAAUGCAGUAAUAUAGUAGUUCAAGCAGGGUGUUGCUCCCAUUAGUUUGGCAAUGUAAAUUCUGAUCAUUGUUUUUAGGCAUGUCAUUUUUGUUGCUAUUAACAUAUAAUAAUUUUAGUUGAGAAAUAUUGCAUUU